CAAAAGUGAGACAGGGGAUGACACAGGCGGCGUCAGCCCCAUGGAAGACCACCGAAGGAAGCGCUCAGGAAGGACGAAGAAGAGAUCAAGCCAAGGGGGGGAGAAAAAUGAUAGCUCUGUUUGGGUCUCCGAGUUUGGAGAGAAGAUGUUGCUUUUCCAUCCUGCAUUCAAUGUUGACUAUAGGGAAAUGUCAGAGGAGAAGGUCAGAACAACCUCACGCUGAGACCUUUUCGAGAAUCUAUCCUGGUUCUUACUUUCAUCCCAAAGGUGUCAGAGACGGACGGAGAUGGCAGCGACCUCUCGGAGGACUCAUUUAAAAUAGAAGAAAGAAAGCAUAAAGGAAAAAAGAGUCCCGGAGCCUCCAAAAGGUCUGAUACUCGAAAGAGACGCGAAAGCAAAUGUCAACCAGAGGAGGAUGAGGAGGAAUCGGUCGGUGAGAGACUGGAGGCCCAGAGGAGGGAGGAGGUGGAGAGUCGCAAAGCAAAGGCCAAGAAGAAGAGCGAUGAAGAGAAGAGGAGGCAGAAAGAAUACCAGAACUCUGCAAAAGAGGAGCUGAAGAGCGAGCUGAUGAAACCCAGCUCAGACACAACGUUUCUGGAUCGGACCGAGUGUCAGUCGGAGGUGGACAGUCUGAAGGCCCAGAUGAGGGAGGAGGUGGAGCAGCUCCAGCCUGAGUUCCACCUGGAGCUCGAAGCAGAGAGGAGGAAGGCGAUGGAGGUGCAGGAAGAAAGCGAGCAGCUGUGGAGCCUUUACCGGGAGGAGAUACGCCGUUCCGUGAAGCUGGAUUACGAGGAGAGGCUGGAGAAACUGAGGGAAGAACUCCGGACGGAACAGAACAACUUCCGGCAAAAAUUCAAGAAUGAGGUCAGAACCUCUGGUCGCAGGGACGGAAACUAGUCCCGCCAAAGCAUCUGAGCAAAGACCACGACUGAUUCCCGUCGUUCUCGCUGUGCUUCAGGUGUCUGCUCAGAGGAAGAACUUGUUGUCCGCUGCGCAGGAGGAGAAAGAGCGCAUGCGGGCCUCGCACGCUCAACACCUGGAGAAGCUUCGCUCGGAGUUCGAGAAGCAGAAACAGCAAAUACAACAGAUGCAAGAGGCGAGAGUCCAACGCACGCCAACAAUCAUUCAGCUGUGCUUUGAAUGUCGCCUGAACGAGAAGUUUGUCUGUCUCUUCCUCAGACGUCAGAGUCGCAGCGACGUGUAGAGCAGCUGGAACAGAGAGCCAAAGAGCGGAAGAACAUGGAAGACGGCGCGCCGCAGACGCCGGACAAACUGGACCAAACCGCAAAGGUGAGACGAGCGUGGACCUCGAAAACAACAGCCUUCCUCUGCAAUUUCCGGCCUCAGG
RNAcentral lists this long non-coding RNA (1348 nucleotides) under Takifugu rubripes (torafugu). RNAcentral's name for it is "lncRNA (ENSTRUG00000027856.1)". The record is from RNAcentral. Lineage: Eukaryota; Metazoa; Chordata; Actinopteri; Tetraodontiformes; Tetraodontidae.